UACCCUCCGUGCCCUAUGGGGCACUCACGGUCAACGGCACUGCCCAUACACUCAGUCCACCCUGGCGGGGACCUCACCAAUGACCUCCAUGAAAACAGGGUCCCAGACAAGCCAGUUGGUCUGAAGGCCGUGGCGCUGACUGACCACAUCAGGGUGUGUUGGCAGCCCCCCGCACAGCACAAUGUGCUGCUGUGCGGCUACACCAUUGCCUGGGACCAAGGCGUGGCGGACAUCUACUCCAAGAUCGUGGACAGCAAGCAGCACGGUUACAUCAUUGAUAAGCUGGAACCCAACAUGGAGUUUGUGAUAAGCCUGCGAGCCUUCAACAACGUGGGUGACGGGCAACCGGUGUACCAGCAAGUCCGCACCCAGCCAGAGGAGGAGGAGGUGGUGGCACCCACGCUGGACCCGGCGGUGUGGGUGAAGGCCGUGGUGCUGACGCCCUUCACCGUGGUGCUGCAGUGGGCGGACACCAUGCUGAGCCAGAACCAGUACAACAGCUGCACCACCUUCUCGUCCUCAUCCUCCAGCCGCUACGUCAACGCCACGGAUGUGACCUGCCUCAUUGACAGCCUCAAGCCAUCAACAGUGUGUGAGUUUGCUGUGAAGACCAUCAGGGUGAGACCACAGUGCUGGAAGCCUUCGUUCUUCUUUCAGUAAAUAUUCACUCAGUCCUGCAACACUUCUCAAGGAAAUCCUGCACAGCUGAAUCCUUGCUGUGAUGAGGCACAGAGAAAGUAUGACUCAUAGGGUUUGGUGUGAGUCCCCCUAUAGCCUGGUGGCCUCCAACACCCUGCUGGUGGCCCGGCCGUCCUGGCCUUCCCUGGCCAGCCAUCCACCACCACCUUCACCCGG
This is an RNA transcript of Eriocheir sinensis (Chinese mitten crab), 855 nucleotides long. It is a transcript of the gene named neogenin-like, with no coding region annotated. The transcript is spliced from 6 exons. The record is from RefSeq and is a predicted model, not a curated record. NCBI's taxonomy places the organism in Eukaryota, Metazoa, Arthropoda, Malacostraca, Decapoda, Varunidae.